Drosophila melanogaster (fruit fly) is the source of this 931-nucleotide non-coding RNA. NCBI's taxonomy places the organism in Eukaryota, Metazoa, Arthropoda, Insecta, Diptera, Drosophilidae. The record is from Ensembl.
CUCAUUCGCCCCGUUCACCCAAUCUAGUUUGCUUGUGAAUAAUUCUCAUAUUGCCUUUUCGUGUGCGUUUUGCUGGAUUUUGGUUGAUCGUUGUAGUAGCUCUAGUUUUGUUGAUAUUUAAAACGAGUAAUCAACGUCAGUCGUGUUGGAAAAUUGAACUGUUGGCCACUGGAUGCCAGAAACUAACAAUGCAGAGAACAGGAUUGUUUAAAUUUUCGAUAACUUUAAGCCAAACACUUAAAAAUUAAAUUCGCCCUUCUCGCGCUGAUGCUUAUCUCUUUGAAGGCACGUCUGCUCUGGUUUUGGAUAAAAAAAAAAUUAAAUGCGGCAGUAACAACAAUUUCAGUUCAGUGGGGUUGGCGGCUGGGGGGUCAGGGGUCGAAGGUCGCAUCCCCUUGGGCCAUGCGGCUGUGGGAACAGCGCAAUUUGCGAGCCACAAAAUGUCUAAGCAAAAAAAAGGAAAACAGGCAAAGGGCCCGCACAAAAUUCGACUUCGAAUGCCAAUUGAGAAUUUAAUAAAAGAACAAAAAAAAAAGAGGCGGAGAAUGGCAAUGAAAAUGGAAGAUACAGCCAGAAAACUUGGAAUUGUUGUGCACAAGUGCCGGUUAAAUAUUUUAGGCAAAUGCCUCAACCUCUGAGCCCCAAACUCCGUUCGGGCCUCAAAGAAUCUGACGAGUUGCCGGGCCAAAAUAAAUCAGCUGGGGCGUAGGCACUUGAGUUGAUUUAUGGCAAUGACUGCUGGGGGCAGAAGCCUCAUCAUGGCGUAGAAUCAUCAGGUUAGGUGAUUCCACUUUUCCAAAUUGCCUCGAGCCCCGUUUUGGAGCUUCCUCAGACAUUGACAAUAUCUAUGCAACUCGAAAAACAAAUUUUGAAGUGUAAUUUUAGGAAUGACAUGUACACAUACGCCUUAUAAAUAUGCACAAAAUUAUAU